GAGAAACUGAGGCUGCAGUUCUGAGGUGCAGAGGCUGAGAUGCUAGGGUUGCUCACAACCCCCUUCCAGGCGGUCCAUUUCCUAGGCCACUUGUAGCGUGGCAGUUGACUUCUUCAAGGUCACCAGGGCUUGCGGUGUUCUACUAUAAGGACUACAUCUCUGUAGCAGGUGGAUGGACACAUUCAGCUUCCAUUACAUGCUGCUGGGCCUAUCUCCACUCUGGACUGCACUCUGGAAACUUCAGGAGGCUCGAAUCUUUAAGAAAGCCCACAAGAGAAUAUCCUGGGGCUGGCAACAGGGAACCAAUGUUAUUUAAUGGAAAGACUUUCAAGAACUUUGAGCAAGAGGAUGUUUAGCGAAGAUAUGCUUUCCUGGAAACAAUAUCUAUUGACUCUCCCUCUGUUCUUUAAAACCACAGAGAACUAGCUCACCCUCUUCUCUACUGGGUGAUCCGUUAGGUCCCUGAAGACUGCUAUUGUCUCUAGCUUCCGUUUUUUUCAUCCAUGCUAAAUGUCUCCAGAUCUAUAAGCUGUCUCUCAAAUGUUAGCCUGGUUACAUUUCCCUUACCAUCUGGUGGUCAGAACUGGAUUUGAAUUCUAGGUGCAUUUUGGCAUAAGCAAGAAAGAAUUGACCCAAUUUUCUUACAUAUAAAGUGAGCUGGGCAGGUGGGGUUGGUUUCCUUUUCCUUUAGUCUUAAUUAUGUCACUUAAUUAUAAAAACCUUACCUGUCUUCCAAACACGGUCAGUCAUGAAAUCUGGACCUUUUUUCCUAGGACAGAAAAAGUACACUGAUUUCUUUUCUUGAAAGCUUAACAGCCUGGAAUAUUUUAGGCACAAGGACAUGAAGGGCUGGGGGAGGAAGGCAAAUGAGUUUUGUGCUUUAUACCAAAGCCAGGCUUUUUCUGGUUUUACUAAUGGAAGGUGAUCACAGAACAUUUUAAUGUCAGAAAGGUUUGAAAGCCAUUAUGCUUCUCCGCAGAUCUUAAAACUCUCCUACUUAACAACUAGUGCCUUGGAAAAGCCAGUGUGCAUGUUCUCUCUCUCUCUCAUACACACACACAUACACAAACACACUCUGAAUAUAAAACUAAGAAGCUGAUUCUGCUAUUAUUUGUCAUGCCUACAACAACCCCUCUGUGUUGUCGGAGGCACCGAACACGUGGUGCGUUCUUUAGCAGUACUUAGACACGCUGACAUAAAAUACAAAGAUGAUCCAAUUACACUUGCUGCAACUGCAUCUCAUUCUGCUAAUGCUUACAAAUUAAGGGUGUCUGUCACUGCCUACAUGAGCCUGUACAGAGAGCAUCUCCAAUCUCAUGAAUUUUCGAGUAUGCUCCACAGAAAUGCAGAAACCAAUUCAACGGCAAGGAGUUGACACACAGCUCAUAAUCCCUGUCUAGUCAGUAUGAAAAUCUGUCUGUGCAAGGAAUGCAAAACGUAGUCACCCGUGGAGUCAUGGGAUAUCAGCAGUGUUAUUUUACCAGAUCAGAGGUAGUGCUUUACUGACAUGAAGCACUUAAAGCGGAAUUGCUUUUCUGGGUUGAAACAUGGGUAUGUGCUCAGCUAAUUUCAAUCAGCACCGUUUAGUUGUUGUGCUUUGCUUUUUGAAACUUUCUGAAGCCAAUUGCCUUCUCAAUUGCUUCCAUGAUCUCUCUUUUAACAGGCAGGCUUCAGAGAGUCAUGGGUUCUGAUUUUGGAGACAGGAGUUGGGAGCAGUGUUAUAGCUUGUCCGUGAGCUCAGGACCCUGAAUUACUCGACUUAUACGCCCAGCGUGGGAGCCUCCUCCACCUGCUUGAGUACCGGCUCCUGAGUCCUUCAUCGGUUGACUGUCUGGGUUGGAAAUGUUUCAGUGAUCUGAAAACAUCCAUUCAGUCUUAUCUAAUAUAUCCUUUCUUCUUCGGGCUAAAUGUUAACAGAUCUUUCGUUCAUUCUUCAAAUACUGCCCAGUUCCCAGGGCUUUCUUCUGCACAAAUGAGUCAAAAGCUCUGCUGCAUCCAACAGUGAGAGAGCGGAUGUGUCGUCCUCAUUCAGAACACCCAGACUCUCUUACUGUGGCUUAAGGGGCUAUAACCUUCUGACCC
Molecule: long non-coding RNA, 2082 nt
Filed under: Macaca mulatta (Rhesus monkey)
Lineage: Eukaryota; Metazoa; Chordata; Mammalia; Primates; Cercopithecidae
Description: lncRNA (ENSMMUG00000049950.1)
Source: RNAcentral